RNAcentral lists this ribosomal RNA (301 nucleotides) under uncultured bacterium. Its description in RNAcentral is "partial 16S ribosomal RNA". It matches the Rfam family "Bacterial small subunit ribosomal RNA", at positions 509 to 807 of the family's 1533-position model. The record is from RNAcentral.
CAGCAGCCGCGGUAAUACGAGGGGGGCAAGCGUUGUCCGGAAUUAUUGGGCGUAAAGGGCUCGCAGGCGGUUUCUUAAGUCUGAUGUGAAAGCCCCCGGCUCAACCGGGGAGGGUCAUUGGAAACUGGGAAACUUGAGUGCAGAAGAGGAGAGUGGAAUUCCACGUGUAGCGGUGAAAUGCGUAGAGAUGUGGAGGAACACCAGUGGCGAAGGCGACUCUCUGGUCUGUAACUGACGCUGAGGAGCGAAAGCGUGGGGAGCGAACAGGAUUAGAUACCCCCGUAGUCCCUGUCUCUUAUAC